AUUGAACGCUGGCGGCAGGCCUAACACAUGCAAGUCGAGCGGAUGAAGGGAGCUUGCUCCUGGAUUCAGCGGCGGACGGGUGAGUAAUGCCUAGGAAUCUGCCUGGUAGUGGGGGAUAACGUCCGGAAACGGGCGCUAAUACCGCAUACGUCCUGAGGGAGAAAGUGGGGGAUCUUCGGACCUCACGCUAUCAGAUGAGCCUAGGUCGGAUUAGCUAGUUGGUGGGGUAAAGGCCUACCAAGGCGACGAUCCGUAACUGGUCUGAGAGGAUGAUCAGUCACACUGGAACUGAGACACGGUCCAGACUCCUACGGGAGGCAGCAGUGGGGAAUAUUGGACAAUGGGCGAAGGCCUGAUCCAGCCAUGCCGCGUGUGUGAAGAAGGUCUUCGGAUUGUAAAGCACUUUAAGCUGGGAGGAAGGGCAGUAAGUUAAUACCUUGCUGUUUUGACGUUACCAACAGAAUAAGCACCGGCUAACUUCGUG
Molecule: ribosomal RNA, 484 nt
Filed under: uncultured bacterium
Lineage: Bacteria
Description: partial 16S ribosomal RNA
Rfam family: Bacterial small subunit ribosomal RNA
Source: RNAcentral